This 819-nucleotide ribosomal RNA is filed under the name Sarcocystis suihominis. RNAcentral's name for it is "SSU rRNA". Lineage: Eukaryota; Apicomplexa; Conoidasida; Eucoccidiorida; Sarcocystidae. The record is from RNAcentral.
UCUUUAUGGGAGGGUGGUGAUAUAGUAGUGUUUAUUAGAUACAGAACCAACACAUCAUUAUUAUCAUUCUAUGAUGAUAGUGAUGUAAAAUAAGGUGAUUCAUAGUAACCGAACGGAUCGCAUUAUAAUUAUCAUUAUUUGAUGAUUGGCGAUAGAUCAUUCAAGUUUCUGACCUAUCAGCUUUCGACGGUAGUGUAUUGGACUACCGUGGCAGUGACGGGUAACGGGGAAUUAGGGUUCGAUUCCGGAGAGGGAGCCUGAGAAACGGCUACCACAUCUAAGGAAGGCAGCAGGCGCGCAAAUUACCCAAUCCUGACUCAGGGAGGUAGUGACAAGAAAUAACAACACUGGAWAUUUGAUUUCUAGUGAUUGGAGUGAUGGGAAUCCAAACCCCUUUCAGAGUAACAAUUGGAGGGCAAGUCUGGUGCCAGCAGCCGCGGUAAUUCCAGCUCCAAUAGCGUAUAUUAAAGUUGUUGCAGUUAAAAAGCUCGUAGUUGGAUGUCUGUUGGAAGCAAUCAUCAGUCCGCCCUAUUUGAUUAGGGUGGGAAUAUGAUGAAUUCCGGCAUAAUUGUCUCCCUAUUAUCAAUAUAUAAGAUGAUCAUUAUUAGAUUCAUUUCUAAUAAUGCGUCUACUAUAUUAUUGGUAGUAUGGGAGAAAUGUUACUUUGAGAAAAUUAGAGUGUUUGAAGCAGGCUUUUGUUGCCUAUGAAUACUGCAGCAUGGAAUAACAAUAUAGGAUUUCGGUUCUAUUUUGUUGGUUUUUUUUAGGACUGAAAUAAUGAUUAAUAGGGACAGUUGGGGGCAUUCGUAUUAACUGUCA